This 405-nucleotide unclassified non-coding RNA is filed under the name uncultured Paraglomus. RNAcentral describes it as "SSU rRNA". It matches the Rfam family "Eukaryotic small subunit ribosomal RNA", at positions 569 to 976 of the family's 1831-position model. Lineage: Eukaryota; Fungi; Glomeromycota; Glomeromycetes; Paraglomerales; Paraglomeraceae. The record is from RNAcentral.
AGCAGCCGCGGUAAUUCCAGCUCCAAUAGCGUAUAUUAAAGUUGUUGCAGUUAAAAAGCUCGUAGUUGAAUUUUGGGUCUGGCCGGGCGGUCCGCCCUCUGGGUGAGCACUGUUCCGACGCCGGGCCUAUCCUUCUGGUGAGUCGGCAUGUCCUUUAUUGGGUGUGCCGGGGAACCAGGACCAUUACCUUGAAAAAAUUGAGUGUUCAAAGCAGGCGUAUGCUCGGAUACAUUAGCAUGGAAUAAUGAAAUAGGACGCGUGGUGCUAUUUUGUUGGUUUCUAGAACCGCCGUAAUGAUUAAUAGGGAUAGUUGGGGGCAUUAGUAUUCAAUUGUCAGAGGUGAAAUUCUUGGAUUUAUUGAAGACUAACUUCUGCGAAAGCAUUUGCCAAGGAUGUUUUCAUUAA